GACGAACGCUGGCGGCGUGCUUAACACAUGCAAGUCGAACGGAAAGGCCCUGCUUUUGUGGGGUGCUCGAGUGGCGAACGGGUGUGUAACACGUGAGUCACCUGCCCUUGACUUUGGGAUAACUUCAGGAAACUUGGGCUAAUACCGGAUUGGAGCUCUUGCUGCACGGUGGGGGUUGGAAAGUUUCGGCGGUUGGGGAUGGACUCGCGGCUUAUCAGCUUGUUGGUGGGGUAGUGGCUUACCAAGGCUUUGACGGGUAGCCGGCCUGAGAGGGUGACCGGCCACAUUGGGACUGGGAUACGGCCCAGACUCCUACGGGAGGCAGCAGUGGGGAAUAUUGCGCAAUGGGCGGAAGCCUGAUGCAGCGACGCCGCGUGCGGGAUGACGGCCUUCGGGUUAUAAACCGCUUUCGCCGGUGACGAGGCGUGAGUGACGGUAAUGAGUAAAGAAGCACCGGCUAACUACGUG
This 468-nucleotide ribosomal RNA is filed under the name uncultured bacterium. RNAcentral's name for it is "partial 16S ribosomal RNA". It matches the Rfam family "Bacterial small subunit ribosomal RNA", at positions 28 to 507 of the family's 1533-position model. The record is from RNAcentral.